This is a long non-coding RNA of Galeopterus variegatus (Sunda flying lemur), 1106 nucleotides long. RefSeq lists it as uncharacterized. The transcript has 3 exons. Lineage: Eukaryota; Metazoa; Chordata; Mammalia; Dermoptera; Cynocephalidae. The record is from RefSeq and is a predicted model, not a curated record.
AAUUAAUUUCCUCAUUUAGCAAAUGUUUAUUGGCAUCUUUGUCUCAGAUGAUGUAUGCUAAGUAUUUCACAUAUUUUUCUCAUUUCAUCCUCAGUACAUAUUAGGUGUGAGGUCUUGCUGCUUGCUUUGCAAAUGAAGAAACAGAGCUCAUGAAAUUUAACUGAACACAAAGGCUUGGUCCAAGGGGUGGGCACAUGACCCAAAUCAACCAAUCAGUUUCUUUCCUAGGUCUUAUAUACACUGGAGAAGGAAGAGAUUUUCUUUUCUGUGUCUGGGUUUUUGAAUAAGGAUUCUGGAUGCAGUCAUUCUGUCUUCCAGGCAGGUGUUGUCAUGGGAAACCAGAGAGGAUGGGACUGACCUGUAGAAGAAAACUGAGCAAUGGGGUAGCCUGGAACUCUAGUAAUACUACUUUUCAGAAGCUUUGUGCCCAAGAUACUCACCUGCCUACAUUAGGACUCCCCGGCAGAGAGAGAGGUUUGCUGCGCAUUCACUGCAGCUCACACACACUGGAUCUCAAGCCAGCUUUAUUUUCUCAACACAAAAGUACAAAUGGAAAAUAUUUAUGUAAACUUCAAGGAAGCUACGAGGAAAUGAAGAAGCCACUUAAAGCCUUAAAGCCAUGUUUUACAGAACUCAUCCUCUUGCUCUGUGGGGAAGGAAUACGAUGAAGUGAAGAGAGUUUGGGAGGAGACUACUGUAGAGGUGCACGGAAGAGCCGAUGAUCAGCAGGGGAAGGUGGAGGCCGUGGAGAGGACAAACAAGGGACCGAUUUGGUAGCUUCUGGUCUUUUCGUUGGCGGGCCCUGGGAUCUAGUUCUUGGUUUCCCCAUCUGUAAAAUGAGAGCUACGCUCAAAUAUUCUCCUAGCUCUGGGGAUCUUGGAGGGUCUGUUGAUUCUGGCCCUGAGAGCUUUCCAAGGUUUGCUUUUUCUCUCAAGGCUAAGAAACCCUCACUGGAAAGAAUUUUGAUUUAUGGCUUAAUGAUAAAUUACCCAACUUUCUAAAGUUUUGCUAAUAUUUUAAGCACAUGACUAUCUUGUGUCCCAGCUUCUUAUUGGGAGGUAGUGGGGGAGGGUGUUACAUUAUUAAUAAAAUAUGAAUAUAUUAAA